GGGCCAUUAGCUCAGUUGGUCAGAGCUCCCGGCUCAUAACCGGUCGGUCCUGGGUUCGAGUCCCCGAUGGCCCACCA
RNAcentral lists this transfer RNA (77 nucleotides) under Ruminococcus sp. RNAcentral's name for it is "tRNA-Ile". It matches the Rfam family "tRNA". Rfam says of the family: Transfer RNA (tRNA) molecules are approximately 80 nucleotides in length. Their secondary structure includes four short double-helical elements and three loops (D, anti-codon, and T loops). The record is from RNAcentral. RNAcentral also lists the same sequence under 2 other names. Lineage: Bacteria; Bacillati; Bacillota; Clostridia; Eubacteriales; Oscillospiraceae.